RNA transcript from Macadamia integrifolia, 1566 nucleotides. It is a transcript of the gene named N-alpha-acetyltransferase 40, with no coding region annotated. NCBI's taxonomy places the organism in Eukaryota, Viridiplantae, Streptophyta, Magnoliopsida, Proteales, Proteaceae. The transcript is spliced from 9 exons. The record is from RefSeq and is a predicted model, not a curated record.
GAGGUGACCUUUGUACGAUUUUUCUUCUGCGCGCCUCCUAGUCUCGAAGGGCUGAAACCACUCUUAAGAAGUCCUCUCAAGCGUGCUUCGCUCUUUCUCUUUCUCUUUCUCAGUUUCUCCUUAUCGAUUCUUGUGUCUCGUUGCUUUCGUUCUUCAAGAACGAGAAACGGAGGUCGGACCUCCGAAGGCUACAGAGUGAUCGGGGUUGAAGAGAUGGAGGCGAAGAGACUUCAAAGUAGCAACAACAACAACAAAGACAAGAAGCUGAAACGGAAAGAGGUGCUAGAGAAGAAGAGAGCUAUUGAUGAAAUUAUAAAAGCUGCGUAUGCUGAUAAGGACCAUCUAGUUUCGUUUCAACCCUUUCGUCAGUUUGAUCGAAAUGGUCUGUCUGUGUUCUUGGAAUCAGGAUCUGGGGAGCACCUAUCCUCACACAUGAAGCGAUAUAUUCAAAGCCUUCUUAAGGUCAAUAUGGAGGGACCAUAUGGACCAGAAUGGCAUACAGAAGAGAAGGUGAAGCGCAGAGAAAUGGUUGCUCCAGAGGCAUGCUACAUUUUUGUGCGAGCUCCAAAUAUGUGUGUUAAUGAGAUAUCUCAAAGAGAAGAUAUGAGAGUAACUAGUGCACAUUAUAUGGGGGAAGGGGACCCUGUUGUAGGUUUUGUACAAUACCGCUUUAUUGUAGAGGAGGAAGUACCUGUUCUUUAUGUUUAUGAACUGCAGCUGGAGCCUCAGGUGCAAGGGAGGGGAUUAGGGAAGUUUUUAAUGCAACUGAUUGAGCUAAUUGCUCGCAAGAACCACAUGGGUGCUGUGAUGUUAACUGUACAAAAGGCAAAUUCUUUAGCUUUGAAUUUCUACAUGAGUAAGCUAAGAUACAUUAUAUCAACAAUUUCACCAUCAAGAGUUGAUCCGUUGAUUGGAGCUGAAAAGAGUUAUGAGAUUCUUUGUAAAGCAUUUGAUCAUGAAGCCAAAGCCAAAUUAGAGGAUUAACAGGCUAAUGGUUAAUCACACCCAGAAAAGCAACUAUUUUGGAGAAUAACGAUUAUUCAGCCUAGUCAUGGAGUUUCACAAGGGUUGCAUUUCACAAUACUACUUGACUACAUCUACAUGGGGCAACUGCUGGGGCUUGGCAUAGCAGUUAACUAAUCUAUAGGUUUUAGAUACAUGCAGAGAUGAAAUGGUUAAAUAAGAUGGACAGGAUCAUAAAGUGAGAAUCCACAUACAUCAUCCUAUUGAAGGCAGAAUAUUUCUCCGUUAAACAAGGUCAUAAGAUGAUUGAUGUCAUAUCUUUGUAUUGGGUAGAUUGGCCAAAAGCAUCAAUGAAGAGACUGAAAAUUCUCUGGCUGAAAACCUGGGGUAUUCAAGAUUAUACUGGAGAAACAAAAAAUUAAAAAAUUUCCUAUCCAUGAAAGAAUGCUUCUGUCAGAACUGCAGGCACCUUAUGAAUGAAUUAAUCCUUCAUUGAAUACCUAGUUGUUGAAUAAAUGAAAAACAACUGUAGAUCAAAAGAUGAAUUACUAAAAAUUGUAUCCUUUGUUGCUGUCUAAUGAAGAGAGCAGUUUUCUUGGGACU